UUAAACGAACCAUACAGUAUAUAGAUGUGCCAGUUCAUACAACAAACCUUUCCCACAUCGAACAGAGAUAACUGAAUCCCAGGGCCCAGCCAGCCCAGCAAUGCGUUGCAUGGGUUGUAUCACAUUAUGUAUAGCCUUUGAUUAAAUUUAACUCCUAGAAAUUCGUUUACACAACAACAAAAUGAAUUCGAAAUCAAUUUGAAUAAAUUAAUGAUUAUAUUUAUUUAA
Molecule: long non-coding RNA, 228 nt
Organism: Drosophila miranda
Lineage: Eukaryota; Metazoa; Arthropoda; Insecta; Diptera; Drosophilidae
Exons: 2
Source: RefSeq, a predicted model, not a curated record